RNAcentral lists this ribosomal RNA (835 nucleotides) under Rhacophorus orlovi. RNAcentral's name for it is "partial large subunit ribosomal RNA". It matches the Rfam family "Bacterial large subunit ribosomal RNA", at positions 1236 to 2576 of the family's 2925-position model. Lineage: Eukaryota; Metazoa; Chordata; Amphibia; Anura; Rhacophoridae. The record is from RNAcentral.
AGCUUAUCUAUUUUAUUAUUAAUCUAACAAAAUCCCAUGAACCCCCACCCCCUACCGAACGAUCCCAUAAAAAUAUGGAAGACACCAUGCUGGAACUAGUAACAAGAAUUUAAAAUUCUCCAAAAUGCAAGCAUAAACCGGAACGGAUAAACCCCCGGCUAUUAACGUAAAUGAACUCAUUACAGCAACACAACAAGAAAAACCUGUUCAUUAAGACGUUAAUCUAACACCAGAGCAUUUAAGGAAAGAUUAAAAGAAAAAGAAGGAACUCGGCAAACUCCAACCCCGCCUGUUUACCAAAAACAUCGCCUCUUGCCAAAACAUAAGAGGUCCAGCCUGCCCAGUGACAAAUUUAACGGCCGCGGUAUCCUAACCGUGCGAAGGUAGCAUAAUCACUUGUUCUUUAAAUGGGGACUAGUAUCAACGGCAUCACGAGGGUUGCACUGUCUCCUUUUUCUAAUCAGUGAAACUGAUCUCCCCGUGAAGAAGCGGGGAUACAACAAUAAGACGAGAAGACCCCAUGGAGCUUUAAAUCUAACAGCAACUCUACCAUACAAUUCCCCACAACCACAGAGCUGUGCAUGUAGAUUUUAGGUUGGGGCGACCGCGGAGCAAAAAUUACCCUCCACGACGAAAAGAGCUAAACCCUUAUCCUAGAGAUACCCCUCCAAGAAUUAGUACACUAACGAACUAUGACCCGAUAAUCGAUUAACGGACCAAGUUACCCUGGGGAUAACAGCGCAAUCUACUUCGAGAGCCCAUAUCGACAGGUAGGCUUACGACCUCGAUGUUGGAUCAGGGUACCCAAAUGGUGCAGCCGCUAUUAAUGGUUCGU